UGGGGUUCUAUGACUUUGGUUGAUUAAUUGUUAAAUUAUUUAUCUGAGUUCUCACAUUUCACCAAAUAUUUUAGUCUUUGGAGCAUUCAUCUUUUCCUGAAGUUAAUUGCUCAAGGGAUAUUUACUGAAUUCUCUAGCAAUUUGACAAUGAUGGUUGUGCAACUCUUUUAGAUGUCUUGGGAUGAAAUGCAGGUGUCCGGAACUCUUGGUUGCCUUUAUCUAUGGAUAUAUGGGACCAUAGACGUCAAAUGCUAUACUAAGAUACAUGUUUUCAAUAUCUCUUUCCUCCCUCUUUUGAGAUUCCUUUGGUAUUCAUAUUAUUAAUUUUGCAAUUGCACAAAGAAGUCAAAGAAAUCUCUCCCUACCAUCCCUACUAAAUAAAAGAAAAAUCACUUUUGAAAAGGUAACAUCUAUCAGCUAUGUAAUUUAGCCAUGUGAUAAUGUUCUGUAUGAUUUUACUUCGUGAAUUGUGAUACAUCUUGGUUUGAUGUUGUCGUACAGAUCUCUAGAUCAAUUGGUGAUGUGUAUUUAAAAAAGGCUGAAUUCAACAGGGAGCCAUUAUAUGCUAAGUUUCGAGUGUGUGAACCCUUCAAAAGACCAAUUUUGAGUUCAGAACCAUCAAUUUCUGUGCACCAAUUGCUACCUCAAGAUCUGUUCAUCAUAUUGGCAUCAGAUGGCCUGUGGGAACACCUCACCAACCAAGAAGCAGUUGAUCUAGUCCAAAAUCAUCCAUGCAGUGUAAGAUAAAAUGCUUCAAAUAUUAUAGCUUUCUAAUUUGAAGAGUAGCAUGUGACAUAGUUAAAGUUUUCUGUUAAAAUUAGUCAAUAGCACUGAUAUUUAAAUAUUCACCAUUAUUUUGUUGUCGAAAAUUUAUCCUACUAUUCAUAACAAGUCCUCUUACUGAUGCAAAAUCUAUCAAUAGGGAUUGUGAUGAUGUAUUCAUGUAAAUUAGUUAUAGGUGAUGCAUAAUACCCACCAUCAAAUUAAGUUAGUUUAAGUUCAGCUCUCAUCUUUAGAGUACGAGAAGUUAUUUCAAUUUUAGUUCAACUCCGUUGUGCAGGGGAGUGCUAGGAGAUUAGUGAAAGCAGCAUUGCAAGAAGCCGCGAAGAAGAGGGAAAUGAGGUACUCCGACUUGAAGAAAAUCGAGCGAGGAAUACGUCGGCAUUUCCACGAUGACAUCACAGUUAUUGUUGUGUUUCUCAACUCAAAUCUUGUAAGCAGGGCUAGUUCAACCAAGAGUCCUAAUAUAUCCGUGAAAGGGGGUGGCGACAUCAAUCUGCCUUCAAAAAUGCUUGGUCCUUCAGCUGUAGCUACUUGAUGACGCUCUUUCUAAUUUGUACUGUACUGUUCAAUGUGGAUACAGAUUAGCUACUUAAAAGUUAAGAGAUGCCCUUGAAUUUCUGAUGUGCCCUCUGUGGCGUUUAACCAAAGAAGGCAUAAUAAUCGGCAAUAGUUUCAAUACCCGAGGAGGCUGGAAAAUGAGAACUCCAAGAUGAUAAUAAUUGUAAUUAUGUUCUCUGGGUAAAUCUUUCAUUAUCUGUUGUUCUCUCCCUUGUGUCAUUUACUCCCUUACAGCUAAAAUGACUUUAUUGAUAUUUUGUUUGAAAACUGAUUAUCACAGUUGUUAUAAAUACUAGUGUCUUCACACUAGGCAGUGGCAUGCUUCUGUAAAGGGGAUUAACAGCAUGCUUGGGGUGGCUUAUAAGCUUAUUUAUUUUACUUAGCCCAAGUUUGGCUGAUGUUCAUAAACAGUUUAUAGUAGACUAAAUCACUUUUAAUCACACAGACUAUUCAUUUAUCCAUCAUUCAUUAUAAAAAAACUCCUAAACUUGCUAUAACAACUCGUGGACCUGUUCUCUCCUUACAAGUCAGUUUUUGCCCAUAAAGAGUGAUCUUAUGGUUAGUGAAGAACUGUGCAUUUUACUAGAAGUCUAUUCCUCAUUGAGGUGCAUCCCAGCUUUUAACUACCUGUGGAAGUUGCGGGGAAUUGAAACUUGCUAGAGAGAAUUUUUUUACUACAGUAUCUUGGUGUUAUUUGCGUCAAUUUUCCUUUCCAUUAAACCAUGGUAACUAACCUAGGUAUCUGUUUGUCAAGUUGGAUCAAUUUUUUGGACAUGCCUGAGUCCAAUCCGUUGUGCUGAGAGAGAGAGAGAGAGAGAGAGAGAGAGAGGGCUUUAAUCAGUGUGUCAGGCAUAUUCCCGCCACCCCGUAAAAACCAUUUACUACACAGUCAAUCUGGCUCAAUAAUCAAUGAUGAGAAUGGGGUUUUCUAGUUUAACCAAUGUUAGAUACUAAACAACGUUAGUGCUUUCUCAGCUUUUAACUACCUGUGGAAGUUGCGGGGAAUUGAAACUUGCUAGAGAGAAUUUUUUUACUACAGUAUCUUGGUGUUAUUUGCGUCAAUUUUCCUUUCCAUUAAACCAUGGUAACUAACCUAGGUAUCUGUUUGUCAAGUUGGAUCAAUUUUUUGGACAUGCCUGAGUCCAAUCCGUUGUGCUGAGAGAGAGAGAGAGAGAGAGAGAGAGAGAGGGCUUUAAUCAGUGUGUCAGGCAUAUUUCCGCCACCCCGUAAAAACCAUUUACUACACGGUCAAUCUGGCUCAAUAAUCAAUGAUGAGAAUGGGGUUUUCUAGUUUAACCAAUGUUAGAUACUAAACAACGUUAGUGCUUUCUCGUGCAGAAUUGGUCAACCAAAUUUCUUAUCUAACAAUUGCACGAUUAUCUAUCACAUCAAUCUAUCAUAUUUAAUUUUCUAUUUUUUGUGUGGAUAUGUAAUAACUAUAUUUUUCAUCCUCAUUCUUACAAAAAUGGGGUAAAAUGGUUCAACGUCGCAAAAACUGUCUUUAUAAGAUUAAUGUUCCCUUUUUAUCCUAUUUUUUGUUAAACUUAUUUUUAAAUAUUUUUUUCAAUAAAAUAAUUUUGUUUAGAGCCAUAAUUUUUUCCUCUUAUAUAUAUAAUUUAGGAAAAUAUUCUAAUUUUUUUUUUUUACCAAUUACAGUCUUCGCCCUUUUUUCCUAUUUUUUAAACAUAUUUUCUGAAGAAAAAUCACUAUUAUAAUUUUAUUUUAUUUUAUUUUAUUUUUUGAAAAAUUGGCUCUCUGUGUAUUGGAGAGUCUAUAGAGAGUCCUUCUUUCCAUUAUUUCUUGGUUUGAGCACAGCUGUCAGUAAAUUCAGCAGUGAAGGUAAAUUUAUGAAGAGUCACAUUUAUUGGGGAAAUUUAACUUUAAUGCAGUAAAUACGAAGUAGAUUGUGUAAAAUUUAAAGCAUCACGACCAACUCUAAUCUUACAUAUACAAGGUUGUCCUUGUCUCAAAGGAAUCUGGGGAUGGAUGCUAAUUUCCGCCUCCCAUCUAGGGGUGGCGCGCGGGUCAAUUCGGUUCGGUUUAAAAGAGAAUCGAAUCGAAUCGAAAUUUUCGGAUAUCUAGUAAAUGGAUUUAGAAAACGUUAAUUUAUUAAUUUGUUUAGAAAAAAUUGAAAUUAAAAUAAUUUGAUUUACUCAAUAUAAAAAAAUAAUUUAGAAAGAUUCAGUUCUUAUUCGAUUUUUCGGGGCUUGGUCUAGAAUCGAGGACCGAACCGUACCCGUCGAUUCUCAAUUCAGAUACCCGUUCGAGUAUUUAAUUUGACAAGAACCGUCGGGUUCGGUUCGGGAGAUUUGCCCAACCCUACUCCCAUCCACCCCCACUCUUUUAGAAGUUUUUUCAGAGGUUAAAAUCCAACAGCAGAAAUGGAAUUCACAUCCCAGAUCAAUUUUUCUUUCUACUUUCAAGUUAUUGUAACGAACUCUAAAUAUCUAAUAUGACUACCUAAGGCCAGUGUUCUAAAAAAAGUAGAACGUGGCUAGGCGACAAGUAACAUAUUUUUAUUGAAUUCCUCUCAACAUUGUGAGUAGAGUAAUGCUAUUUAUAGUGAAGAUUACCGGUAGUCGUCCUAUGUGGCAUAUAUAUGACAAUUUUUUAUUUGAUGCAUUAAUAUGAUAGUUUUUUAUUACUUUAUGCAUCAUAUAUCAAACUGUCAUAUGUAUGCCAAGUAAAGCGAUUAUCGAUAUUCUUCACCAUGAAUAACAUUAUUCUUGUGAGUAUUCCAUUAUAUAGAAAAUCUAGGAGUGAUACAUACAUAUACACGUACGUACGCGCGCGCACACACACACACUUAACACUAAGCAACUCAUGCCAAAAAAGGUCUUGAUCAAGGCACCGGCCUUCUAGUGCCGCCGCUUUACUCCGAACGGCAUGUUCUUCCACUAUUCACGCUAUUUAUAGUUCGAGCAAGAGCGGUUUUUAGAUAAAAUAAAGAAACAAGAUAAUAGAUUUGUCGUUAAGUCCGACUUGCAGAACUGUCUUUCGACUAGGCUUUAUGUUGAGGAUGCAGUUGGGUGGCCCCUCCAUAGGGGUACCUACUUAGGCUGAUUGCUCAUUGGCUGUUGACAAAUCGCUCCGGAAGUGUGGAAGGAAUUCCACAUUUCCCUUUUUUUUUUUUAUUAUUUAUCUUCGAAUAACCCAUGAGACUUAAUCCAACAAAGACCCGAUCCCACUCCGCCCUGGAUGUGUGUAAUCAUCCUGUGCCAUAUGUACUGGGCUUUUCCUGGGAGACGUGGUAAAGAAGAUAGAUGUCGCAUAUGCGCUUUGUCUUAUAUUAGUAUUAGUCUUAGAUGAGUUGUUAGGAGGGGAAGGUGGAAACAGCUCCUAUUUCUAUUGUUAAAAGGGAGAACCUAUCUAUUCCUAUUACAAUAGCAGCAUUACAUGGUAUGGGAGAACUCCCAGAAAGUCCAAUGAGGGCUUAAAGCAAAGCUAAAGUGCUUAAGAAGGAAUUAGAUUAGUAUUGGCAGGGCAGGGCGAAUGAAGGAGACUCCAACUUCCCAUCAAACUCAAACCCCCAGGUCAGGAAAAGCAACUGAAACUGAAUCAAUAGCUGGGGUUGAAAAGGAAGCUACAGCAACGGAGGCUCGCAUAGCAUGACAAAGUACAACCUCCGAGAAAGCAGAAAGAAUCUAAGACUGAAUAAAGUGGAAGGAAAACCCUAGAAAAGCUCAACCCUAGACCUUGACCUCUCAUCCUAGAAGAAGAUUGGGUUCCUAUUGCUACAAACAAGGGGUAUCCAACAACAACUACUGAUACUACUAUUCCAACAAUUGUAACUAUCAGGAUUGAAGUACAAAGGUUUUGACUCUUGAACAUAUUCGCCUAGGAUAAACCUUUCAAUGACUUAAUCAGAGCAAAGUCAACCGCUGUAAUUGGAUGGGCUAGAAAAUGGCUAUACUAGAAGUGUAAGGGCUUACAACUCAAACUUGAUCUCCCAUUGCAGAACUUCCUCGCCUAAGAGACUGAAGGGCUUGAUCUACUUUUCCCUAUCCAUACUCCUUAUCCAAUAGAUGGAAAGGCUUAGAAAAAAGGGCUUCUCUUUGUCCUGGUACUGGCUCUGCAAGGAAAAUAGAAAGAUACCGUAUUCGAUCAUAUAGAACAGGCCCUCCCUCGUAUGCAACUUAUUCUCGACUAAAGUAUAGGAUAUAUUAAGAAGAAAUUACGCACUUCACAUAGGGAGAAGGCUCACACCUACCUAAAAUACAUCCCUAAGCCGCUGUUCCCAAUAGAGAGGGUAAAAGAGCCUAUCUAAGGAAGUCUAGUAGCGUGGCCUUCUUCCACUUCCAAUAGAGUAUCUAAGAUGAAGAGACAUGGGUGGAAGAUCCUUUUCAGAAGGUUAGAACUCCUCAUAAGGUCUGUUCCUCAUCACUUAUCUUCCCAUCUGGUCUAUAAGGUAAGAGUUUCUUUAGCGGCUUAAUGUCUUCUAACAGCCGGGAAUAGGUCCUCUUGCCCUUCCUGCUCAUCUAGAAGGUAAAAGCUUCUUUAACGGCUUAAUGUCUUCUGCCAGCCGGGAAUAGGUCCUCUUUCCCUUCCUGCUCAUCUAGAAACUUUUACAAAGUCUCAUCCCUUCUUAUCAUAACAAGCGUAAGAUCUGAGGGAAGCUUGUCUUCCAGAUCGAAACCCUGCUUCUACCUAUUCGCAUCUGAAAAGCAGUAGGGUGCGACCCUCACCUUGCUUAGCAUCAAAGCGAACUGAUCCCAGCACAGUAAUAAAGCUCAAAGAUAGCCUUCCUCAUUAUUACGCCAUCCCCCACACUGCCCUAGGGCAAAGCUAAUAAAGGAAAACUAAUCUCUAUCAAUAUGUACUAUCGAUGUAAUAAAGGAAAACUAAUCUCUAUGGAUUCUGCGACCUGCCAAUUAUUUUCAAUCUGUCAAUUAAAAUCUGUCAAUUAUUGAUUUUGUAAAUCCCAUUGCUCGCAAGGUCAAGCUUCCAGCUUUUAUGAGCCUAAGUGGGGCCUAGGCAAAACCUAGGUGUAGAAAAGAGAAACUUGGCUAGGCGGCAGGCCAAGCUUUGUGCCUAGUCAAAGCUUAGGUGGUGUCUAAGUGCGCUUUUUAGAACACUGCCUAAUGCAUAGAAGUUUAAAAUUUCAAAAGAUGCGGUUUUGUUAAUAUAGAUAUUUAACCAAAAUUUACUCGUUCUCGGUGAAGCAAGCAUGAUGGCUGUGGGGUUCUAUGACUUUGGUUGAUUAAUUGUUAAAUUAUUUAUCUGAGUUCUCACAUUUCACCAAAUAUUUUAGUCUUUGGAGCAUUCAUCUUUUCCUGAAGUUAAUUGCUCAAGGGAUAUUUACUGAAUUCUCUAGCAAUUUGACAAUGAUGGUUGUGCAACUCUUUUAGAUGUCUUGGGAUGAAAUGCAGGUGUCCGGAACUCUUGGUUGCCUUUAUCUAUGGAUAUAUGGGACCAUAGACGUCAAAUGCUAUACUAAGAUACAUGUUUUCAAUAUCUCUUUCCUCCCUCUUUUGAGAUUCCUUUGGUAUUCAUAUUAUUAAUUUUGCAAUUGCACAAAGAAGUCAAAGAAAUCUCUCCCUACCAUCCCUACUAAAUAAAAGAAAAAUCACUUUUGAAAAGGUAACAUCUAUCAGCUAUGUAAUUUAGCCAUGUGAUAAUGUUCUGUAUGAUUUUACUUCGUGAAUUGUGAUACAUCUUGGUUUGAUGUUGUCGUACAGAUCUCUAGAUCAAUUGGUGAUGUGUAUUUAAAAAAGGCUGAAUUCAACAGGGAGCCAUUAUAUGCUAAGUUUCGAGUGUGUGAACCCUUCAAAAGACCAAUUUUGAGUUCAGAACCAUCAAUUUCUGUGCACCAAUUGCUACCUCAAGAUCUGUUCAUUAUAUUGGCAUCAGAUGGCCUGUGGGAACACCUCACCAACCAAGAAGCAGUUGAUCUAGUCCAAAAUCAUCCAUGCAGUGUAAGAUAAAAUGCUUCAAAUAUUAUAGCUUUCUAAUUUGAAGAGUAGCAUGUGACAUAGUUAAAGUUUUCUGUUAAAAUUAGUCAAUAGCACUGAUAUUUAAAUAUUCACCAUUAUUUUGUUGUCGAAAAUUUAUCCUACUAUUCAUAACAAGUCCUCUUACUGAUGCAAAAUCUAUCAAUAGGGAUUGUGAUGAUGUAUUCAUGUAAAUUAGUUAUAGGUGAUGCAUAAUACCCACCAUCAAAUUAAGUUAGUUUAAGUUCAGCUCUCAUCUUUAGAGUACGAGAAGUUAUUUCAAUUUUAGUUCAACUCCGUUGUGCAGG
Molecule: long non-coding RNA, 7579 nt
Filed under: Olea europaea (common olive)
Lineage: Eukaryota; Viridiplantae; Streptophyta; Magnoliopsida; Lamiales; Oleaceae
Description: long non-coding RNA (OEUR_LNC011588)
Source: RNAcentral